Molecule: transfer RNA, 60 nt
Filed under: Hyalella lucifugax
Lineage: Eukaryota; Metazoa; Arthropoda; Malacostraca; Amphipoda; Hyalellidae
Also listed under: 2 other names
Description: tRNA-Thr
Source: RNAcentral
ACUUACGUAGUUUAAUAAAAACGGUAGUUUUGUAAACUACAGUUGGUUCGCCUGUGAGUA